This 449-nucleotide ribosomal RNA is filed under the name uncultured bacterium. Its description in RNAcentral is "bacterial SSU rRNA". It matches the Rfam family "Bacterial small subunit ribosomal RNA", at positions 329 to 793 of the family's 1533-position model. The record is from RNAcentral.
UGCCAGACUCCUACGGGAGGCAGCAGUGGGGAAUAUUGGGCAAUGGGCGCAAGCCUGACCCAGCAACGCCGCGUGAAGGAAGAAGGCUUUCGGGUUGUAAACUUCUUUUCUCAGGGACGAAGCAAGUGACGGUACCUGAGGAAUAAGCCACGGCUAACUACGUGCCAGCAGCCGCGGUAAUACGUAGGUGGCAAGCGUUAUCCGGAUUUAUUGGGUUUAAAGGGUGCGUAGGCGGACUGUCAAGUCAGCGGUAAAAGGCGGGGCCCCACCCCCCGCCCGCCGUUGAAACUGACGGUCUUGAGUGGGCGAGAAGUAUGCGGAAUGCGUGGUGUAGCGGUGAAAUGCAUAGAUAUCACGCAGAACUCCGAUUGCGAAGGCAGCAUACCGGCGCCCAACUGACGCUGAAGCACGAAAGCGUGGGUAUCGAACAGGAUUAGAUACCCCGGUAG